RNAcentral lists this small RNA (699 nucleotides) under Histoplasma ohiense. Its description in RNAcentral is "hypothetical lncRNA". Lineage: Eukaryota; Fungi; Ascomycota; Eurotiomycetes; Onygenales; Ajellomycetaceae. The record is from RNAcentral.
GCAGGCGCAUGGUUUUCCUCGUGGAAUUUUGCGAUCCUGAUAUUGCAAUCCAUAGCCAACUGUGAUAAUAGUAUUACCGGCCUAGCGCCAGGGGAACGGCUGCUGGAGCCCAUCGCAGACUAACUCGGUUGACAGUGUUGAAAAGGUGAUAUGAUCUCAAGUCAAGCAUAAGUUGGUGGUGAACUUGCAGCUUGUCGCUCGCCCAGAACUAAACCCGCUGGAGUGAUUCUCAACCAUCUGAUUGGAGGCUAUUCCUCAUGACGUGCAUGGAACUGUCCCAUUAGUACAGAUUUGUAUAAGAUCGCUUGAUGAGGUCCUUUAUCUCAGACCUCGUUUUAAACAGCGCCUGGGAGAAAGCAUUUUCAAGGCAGAGAAUCAGAUGUCUACAGCACCUUUUUUUUUCUUUUUUCUUUUUUUUUUUUUUUUGAAACAUUCACGAUAAGAUAUGUUAUUCUCAACCACCUAGCUAGAGAGAGCUCUGACCUUGUUUCAAACAAUCAGAAAAUAAUACGGAACUAGUAGUACCUCUGAAUCCCACCAGUUAAUUUGUCAAGGCAUCACUUAUAUACGAUGGGUUUCCGUCGAUGCGGCACUGGAGAACUAGCGAAAAUUGUUACUUCCAGUGGAGCCCCGUAGACUGGUGGCCUGCAUGUCAAUUAAAUGAGAGAAAAGAGAAAGGUUAUUUUCAUUUUUAGAGGC